Molecule: long non-coding RNA, 3727 nt
Organism: Eucalyptus grandis
Lineage: Eukaryota; Viridiplantae; Streptophyta; Magnoliopsida; Myrtales; Myrtaceae
Exons: 4
Source: RefSeq, a predicted model, not a curated record
UGCCGUAGCAAUCUCAGCCAUGAGGUGGGAGAAUGGCUUGAGAGUAUCCGGAUCGAUUCCCAUUCCUGCAAGCUUCUUUUUCAGCUUGGUGUUCCAGUAGUUCUUGACCUCAUUUCCGUGCGACCCGGCAACUGAGCUGCAAUUAUCGACCACCCGUAGCAAAACCCAACUGGGAUUUUAAUUCAUGGGAGGUAAUAAACAACCACUUGGUACUCAUGGAAGAACAGAACGGCGGUCAUGUAGAGGAGUUGAGAACAAGCUUCUGCAGAAGAAUAUGACGCGGAAGAAUGGAUUGAUUGAUUGAUUGAUUUACCGGUAACCAAGGACAGCAUGGAGCCUCAUGAUGGUUUGCUCCUCUGAUUCUGAAGUCUGGUCGGAGGUAGGUAGUCCAUCGCAGCCUACAGCUUUUUCCACAUCUAUGCCGGUCUACACAUUGAUUAUUGAUAGAUGAAGGAGUCGAUAGUGUUGGAUGAAAAAAGCCAAGGAAGAUGAUUUCUCUACUUGCACUCUUUUCAAGGAAAUUUUUCCCUCUUCUUUGUGUGCUUCUUGGAAAGGAAAUCAAGCAGGACAGUUAUCUAGCCAAUUUUCUAUCAGGUAUGUGAAUGUGAAGAUAUGGUGUGUGUUUUUAAAUAAAGGGAGGUGUGUCUUCUUAUAUUAAGGGUUUGCCUUGCAUGUGGCUCUGUUCAAUAUAGCCCGAGUUACCAUCGAAGGCCCAUGAUUUAAUUAAAGAAUUCAAUGCCAUGUUGUGUGUGAGAGAAGGGCAGGUAGCUCACCCACAAGAUGUUUGGUUCAAACCUCUCUCUCUCUCUCUCUCUGCGUGUGUAUGUAGUUGACUGUAUCGGGUUUCUGCUAGAGCUGGUGUGUUAACAGUUAAGGUCACACAUAAUUGCCUCAUGGAAGAGCUUGUCUUUUACAAAAGUUGAGGCUGUUGCGCGUGGGUCUUUCUGGCACUCAUUCUACCACUCCUAGUGCUAACGCAUUAGACACCUAAUCAUUUUGUAAAUGCAAGAAUUGCUGGUGCUUGCUGCUUCUUAGCAAUUACUUUGACAUGAACAAUUUGGUCCCAGUUGUCUUUUGAUAUCUUAUGUCCAGGACUAUUAUCAGCCCUCUCUUUUAUGAAGUCUCUUGACAUGAGAGUGUAAGAAUCUUGUUGACCGAGAAGAUGAAGUGCAAAAUAUAAUUCUCAGGCUUCCGUUUGUCACUAAUGUAGUUCUUCGUCGAUCUGCAUAUCUAUUUUCUAUAUAUAUAUAUAUAUUUUAAGGACGCAUUCACAAACUAGAAAGGUGACUGAUUGGCCACACCAUGUUUGGUGCAUGCUAUUGAGUAUUGACACAACAGAGGGUGCAUGUAUAUUUUUUACUUUUUAGCUGUUAAAAAUUGGAGAGAAGCUCCUGUCUUACCUAAACUCAAGCAACCACCACCUUCAAGUGAGACUAAUGAUUCUGUACUUGAGAUCUGAAGGAAGAGUUGAGAUUCUAAGAUGCAAGGAUUAUCUGCAUGAAAUUUGUCCAAACUCAGACUCAACUUAUUUUGGACCUGGUUAAUCGCAACCAUUGAUAGUAUUAAAUGCAGGGGUGGGAUUAUAUCUAUUCAUAGGCCACUUAAGGCCUACUUUCUGCUCAUUUUGUGUUUUUUUCAUUCUGUGUCACUCGAAUCCCUGAAUAAGUGUGCAGCAUGAAUAUUUUGUACAUCAGCAAUUGAAGAACUUAGGUGCUCCCUUUUUCACCUUAACAAACAAGAAUUCUUUCAUCUGAAUUACCCUUUUGUGUUUUACCAUAAGGAAGGAAAAUUACAGUUUCUUAUCUUAGUUUGGCUCUGAUAAGUGCCUCAAAUGAGCCAAUGAAGCAUAAAACUGUCGCAAGAAAGCAGACAAUGCUAAAUAUCUUAAGGAUGACCCAUUUUCUUGUCCAAGCACCGAUUUUCUUUUGCACAAGGUACAUCUCCACGGGAAAUAUAUCGCCAAGGGCCAAAAGUUCAACGCGCCCAACACUCCUAGAACCGAGUUGAAAUAUGGAAAGAUUAAGGCGAUUCCAGUUGUGGAUAUGACAAAUACUGUGCGGAAGCACAGCCUGAAAAGAUUCAUCCGAAUAGCCGGCACCAAGGGAAGCCUGAAUGUGUAGAAUUUGUUCACAAAUCUGCUAUUUGGGUAUGUGCUGCUGGACCAUCUCUCUGCUGCUGCAUAUAUGGGCUGACUGAACAUCUGUUCGAAGAGACUCAGCAUAAAUGAUGUGACCAUGUUUUCAAAGGCUUAAUCAAAUCAAGAAACUCUUACUGCUAUCUCUGUAAAUUUUUUGCGUGAAAAAGUGCGUAUGACUGUUGUGAUUAUUUCGAUUUGAUUCUUCUCCAGUUUUUUCAGGGUUUCGAGACUCUAAAAUUGACAGUUGUCAGAGUGCAUAACCAAUUGAAGAUUGAAAACAAGUUUAAUAUUGAGAUAAAAACUGAAGGCAGGUAUCGUUCAGUUCCUUUUUUCGAGAAGUCGGGUAUUGGUCAUACAUAUACCUGGUAUCCUCCAACCAAAUGGACAAUGAUGCACACGUUCGCAAAGUCGACCAGCCAGAAGGGCUCAAAGAAUCCCUCCCCGUUCACUAUCCCAGUCAGGAGAUUCCCAGGCGUUUCGUCACCAAAGGCUGCAUAUCCAAAGCAUCCGCAGCAGAAGUAAAAGAAGGUGGUUAUGAAGACUGCGACCAUGGAGGCCCUUUUCAUCGUCUGGUUUUCUGGUGGAGGGGACUUCAAAGUGUCCUGAAUGUGACAGAAACUCAAAGAUUCGGUAAGCCUCUAGGCCUUGCGGAUUGUUCUGAAAUAGAAACUGACUCAGUUCAAAUAAUAAAGCCAAGGUCUCACCUGUAUCUCAAGAAGAAUGAGUGAAUAUGGAUACGAAAAAGCAAUAUCUCCAAGCGCCUCAAAGGUAUUCCAUAACUUUUUCUCAACUUUAGCAGCCGGAACUCCUGCAAUCCCUCCCGCGAUUCUUCCAUUUUCUGGAGAUCACAAGAAAUCGAGAGAGUCGUCACAGAACUCCUAGGAGCUCUAUAGGAUACUAAGUACGAAGUUGUUCCUCCAUUUAUCUGACAGCAAAAGGGACCGAUUCAAUUUUAUUAUGUUCCCUUCAAAGGGUCAAGCAUUCUCUCAAGUCUGGACAGAUGACAGCAAACACACCAACCUAUGACUUUUGCAAAGCUGAGUCCUAGUCCAAUGGAAGAAUAAGAGAAGGACAUGAUCGCGGCAACAACUGAAAGCCAUUCCAUAUUGUGCAUGUCUGGUAUCAGCGACAUUACGAUCUGUAUAAUCCCGAAUAGCACCAUGUAGAAGCUACUACCAUAGUGACACCGAGCAUUGCGCCCUUCUCUGUGAUAGCAAUUCGAUUCCCAAUAGCCCUGCAUCCACAAAUGGAUGCAAAUUUUCCAGGUUGCAGUAGUUAUAACGUAGGCUAUGUCUGUGCCAUACAAGCUCAGAUACUGAAGCAAACCACAUACCCACGUUCUUUUCGUACCUGAAAUGGACAACUGAACAUAGUAGGAUCGACACACCGAGGACCACCAUCUAAAGUAAAUUCUCUCACGCGAAAUCAGACAACCAUUCGGAUAAUAAAUCAGGAGACCGGUAACAAUCUGACAGAAGGAAAGCGGAGAUGUAGGUGAUUAUCGCGAAACAAAGCAAGGACACUGGCCCCCCUAUCCACCCCAGCUGUGCCGUACUCCAAGCUAGAGACAGAACUCCGGCUCCAAUGACC